GUCCUAUAUAGAUGUAUCAACGCAAGACAGUUGGGCAUUUCCCUUUAGGAUGUUGUUUAUUAGAAACUUCAGCAAUAAUCUUUAUUGUGUGGCUGCAUAAGUCGAAAUGAGGUGAGUUGAAGUGGAAUGGGUUAUCUGUAAGACCUUGAGUUGAAAAACUCUAAAAUUGACCUAGAGAUACAAUUUUGUAUUUUCUAGUUACAGUUGU
RNAcentral lists this non-coding RNA (208 nucleotides) under unclassified sequences. RNAcentral's name for it is "IS605-orfB-I RNA". It matches the Rfam family "IS605-orfB-I RNA". The record is from Rfam by way of RNAcentral.